UUUUUUUUUCCCUGAUUACUCUGAUACUAAUAUUGGUAGAUCCCAAAUAAUUGAUGAAUGCAUAGCCGCUGUGUUGUAAAAACACAAAAUAGGACUGCAAGUAUUACUACAAAGCUUUAAAAUAGAGAAAAGAUUACGAUAAUUGAUGAACAUCUCUUUCCCUCGACUCCACAGAAACUAUCCUUGUUGCAAUUCUAAAUUAUGUGUUGCUAAAGUUUUGGUCAACAGGUGCAUAUAAUUGGAAUUGAGAGUUUAAAUCAUGCUCAAACAAUCUCUAGCUAAGUACCUUUUUCUAACUACACUUGUGCUUAUCUUGUUGGUGAUUCAAAUGAUUCCAGUUAUCGAAAAGAGUAGGACAUAAGACAGUUCUUCUUUCUGUUUUUAGGCCCAUCGUUCAAAUAGAUGGCUAAAUUAGAAUGAUAAAUAGUAAGUGCAAACUGAUUUGAUCCUAAGAACUAGUUCUUUCAAUUUCCCUUCAUUUUGAAUUGAGUACUGAAAUGCUUAGGACGGACCUACAGCGUUAGUCUCAGGUCUGCCAUUGCCUUUGGUGAAAGACAAUUUUUGGAGAAUGAAAAUUGUAAUGGAGCCUGACUACCGUUCUACCUCGAAAGUUAUAUUUGGUGGUUCUUAUCCUUCUACAUAUUGUUGUAACAAUAAAAUUUUUGACCAUUUUGUGAACACGGUUAUUGAACCUAAACAAUAAUCACUAACAUACUCGAACUUACACCUCUCUGUUUAUGAACACAGUUAUUGAACCUAAACAACAAUCACUAACAUAUUCGAACUUAUAUCUCUCUGAUUCAGUCUCAGGGGAUCGUUUCUGAAAUUAUUUCAUCUCAUGGAGGGGUUUUAUGAAAGGCCGUACUGAAGGAGGUUACAUGUUCUUAGUAUUUAGCCUGUACACAUCAGUGUUGCUGUGCCUACUAUUUGAGCUCCAUUACUGCUGCUGAGUGAGUUUGAUUUAGUAUUUGUGGAUAAAAUGUCAACCCUGUCUCGUCUUCUUCUAAUUUUCUUCUUGUCAUGCUGAUUAUGACAGUGCCGUGCUUGUUAACUCUCGUGUAAUUCAACUUAAGACCAUUCUUUUUGGAAAGAUCUAGAAUAGAAUGAAGAUAUGCACAAAAUCAAAUAGACCAA
This 1134-nucleotide long non-coding RNA is filed under the name Olea europaea (common olive). Its description in RNAcentral is "long non-coding RNA (OEUR_LNC013284)". Lineage: Eukaryota; Viridiplantae; Streptophyta; Magnoliopsida; Lamiales; Oleaceae. The record is from RNAcentral.